RNAcentral lists this transfer RNA (70 nucleotides) under Marmota monax (woodchuck). RNAcentral describes it as "tRNA.Ile". The record is from RNAcentral. Lineage: Eukaryota; Metazoa; Chordata; Mammalia; Rodentia; Sciuridae.
GGGUGUAUGGCUCAGUGGUAGAGCGCUUACCUAAUGUGUAAGGCCCUGGGUUUGAUCCUCAGCAUAACAA